Molecule: ribosomal RNA, 505 nt
Filed under: uncultured bacterium
Lineage: Bacteria
Description: partial 16S ribosomal RNA
Rfam family: Bacterial small subunit ribosomal RNA
Source: RNAcentral
GACGAACGCUGGCGGCGUGCCUAAUACAUGCAAGUAGAACGCACAGUUUAUACCGUAGCUUGCUACACCAUAGACUGUGAGUUGCGAACGGGUGAGUAACGCGUAGGUAACCUGCCUGGUAGCGGGUGAUAACUAUUGGAAACGAUAGCUAAUACCGCAUAAUAUUGAUUAUUGCAUGAUAAUUGAUUGAAAGAUGCUAUUGCAUCACUACCAUAUGGACCUGCGUUGUAUUAGCUAGUAGGUGAGGUAACGGCUCACCUAGGCGACGAUACAUAGCCGACCUGAGAGGGUGAUCGGCCACACUGGGACUGAGACACGGCCCAGACUCCUACGGGAGGCAGCAGUAGGGAAUCUUCGGCAAUGGACGAAAGUCUGACCGAGCAACGCCGCGUGAGUGAAGAAGGUUUUCGGAUCGUAAAGCUCUGUUGUAAGAGAAGAACGGGUGUGAGAGUGGAAAGUUCACACUGUGACGGUAUCUUACCAGAAAGGGACGGCUAACUACGUG